UUCAUGGAGAGUUUGAUCCUGGCUCAGGACGAACGCUGGCGGCGUGCCUAAUACAUGCAAGUCGAGCGGACCGACGGGAGCUUGCUC
This 87-nucleotide ribosomal RNA is filed under the name Bacillus paralicheniformis. RNAcentral describes it as "partial 16S ribosomal RNA". It matches the Rfam family "Bacterial small subunit ribosomal RNA", at positions 1 to 85 of the family's 1533-position model. The record is from RNAcentral. Lineage: Bacteria; Bacillati; Bacillota; Bacilli; Caryophanales; Bacillaceae. RNAcentral also lists the same sequence under 1 other name.